Molecule: small nucleolar RNA, 127 nt
Organism: Molossus molossus (Pallas's mastiff bat)
Lineage: Eukaryota; Metazoa; Chordata; Mammalia; Chiroptera; Molossidae
Product: small nucleolar RNA SNORA44
Exons: 1
Source: RefSeq, a predicted model, not a curated record
CAGCAUGUUUCCAAGGGCUGUGGCUGGUGGCAGCCAUGGGAUCUCCAACUGCACGAGAGCAACCUGGAGAGACAGACAGCUCGGGUCAGCAUAAUAUCUGCAGCUGCCACUCACCUUGCCUAUAAUA